UACAGAGGUCUCAAGCGUUGUUCGGAUUCAUUGGGCGUAAAGGGCGCGUAGGCUGCGGGGCAAGUCGGGUGUGAAAUCUCAGAGCUCAACUCUGAAACUGCACUCGAUACUGCUUUGCUCGAGGACUGGAGAGGAGAUUGGAAUUCACGGUGUAGCAGUGAAAUGCGUAGAUAUCGUGAGGAAGACCAGUGGCGAAGGCGGAUCUCUGGACAGCUCCUGACGCUGAGGCGCGAAGGCUAGGGGAGCAAACGGG
Molecule: ribosomal RNA, 253 nt
Filed under: uncultured bacterium
Lineage: Bacteria
Description: partial 16S ribosomal RNA
Rfam family: Bacterial small subunit ribosomal RNA
Source: RNAcentral